This 254-nucleotide ribosomal RNA is filed under the name uncultured bacterium. RNAcentral's name for it is "partial 16S ribosomal RNA". It matches the Rfam family "Bacterial small subunit ribosomal RNA", at positions 524 to 776 of the family's 1533-position model. The record is from RNAcentral.
UACGGGGGGGGCAAGCGUUGUUCGGAAUUACUGGGCGUAAAGGGCUCGUAGGCGGCCAACUAAGUCGGAUGUGAAAUCCCCAGGCUUAACCUGGGAACUGCAUCUGAUACUGGAUGGCUUGAAUCCGGGAGAGGGAUGCAGAAUUCCAGGUGUAGCGGUGAAAUGCGUAGAUAUCUGGAGGAACACCGGUGGCGAAGGCGGCAUCCUGGACCAACACUGACGCUGAGUGAGCGAAAGCCAGGGGAGCAAACGGG